GAGCAAUAUGAACUCAAGAAGAAACCUGCAUUUUAAGUUAUGAAUAGAAGGUUGCUUAGUAGGCAAAAUCCCCUCAUUACUGCUGGACAAACACUCAAGAAAAGUGGUUGGGAAGUAAGUCCAUAGCUCCGCCUUCCAAGGAAACAAACAAACAAGAAGUCAUUGACAAUAAGGCUGUGGUAUAAACUGAUGAAGAGUAGGAGAUUCAGGGAGCUGAGCAAUCCUGAGAGCACAUGUGAACAAUUAAUCUUGUUGUUUGCUGCAAACAAGCUGAACCCCUCCAGCUGCAUGGUGACAAAUCUUCAGGACUUGCCCUUCCUUUCAGAUGGGAAGCUCAGAUCUGCACCCCGCGCCCUGCUGUGCCAGCACCUGACCAGGACGAGAACGCAGUGUAUCCACUGAGCGUGAGCUCUGCUCUUUUAGAAGAUGGGCCUGGUGCUAGACUUCCCAAGUCACCUCCAGGGCUGUAAUUGGAGGUAAACAAAAUUUUCAUAUUAUGGUCUACAGAACACUGAAGCAUGAAAACUUGAAGAAUUCAAAGCAGAGGUACAGAAAAAACAGGCAGCAAUGAAGUAUGUGGCUCUUAGUACUUUAGGAGAGGCCGUUGAGCAAGACCUCCUUUGGAAUGUGGUUUGGCUGUUAAUUCUUGAUUUUGCUAACUGUUGUGUUGCUUCAGACUUUUCAGAAGUGUGUACAUAUCUAUGUUUGAAGGACUGUGGAAGGAUCCAACUGAAUCUUGCUUUGCCAGCUAGGGUUCAAAGGCUGAACUGCAAACUGUAGUUCUGAAAUGUGCCUCAGCCAUUAACUCAAGUCAGAAAUGUUACCUUUGCACACCUGUCCUAAGUAUACAGAAGAAAAACAUCAAAAAUUUUAACACAGUGGAAUUUUAUGAUCAUCCCAUGCCAGCUGUUUCAUCUUUUGACUCAAACAAUCUAUCAUGGCCUCAGCCUAAAAAUGGAGAACAUUUAAGACUAUCUUUGUCAGGGUUGAAACAAACUGUAGAAAGUAAAGUGUUCCUUUAUGAUGAGAUGCAUUAAAGCUGGCCCUUAAGUAACUUAAAGUUAAGACCAUUGAUCUUGGUUAAGGUUCAUAGGGAUCGAGAGCAUGCUGCUAACUACUAGUGGGUCUCAGUUGCCCAAAGGUAUUAAAGGAGUCAGAGUUCAGUUGCAGCUAAAAUUUCCUGUUUUCCUGGAUAUUACAAAGUAGCAGAUUUUAAAACAUGGUUAUAAGAUGGUUGCUCAAGAUGGAUUUUCAAGCAUGCUGUGAAAGGUCUGCACGUGCUUAACCUGAUGCUGUGGCCAAAUCACAUCAGUUCUUUGAUUAAAACAACAGUGCAGCAGUGCAGACCUGUUAAUUUAAGUUCUGCACAUCACAUGCCCAGUACGUCCAAGGGAUUUUAGAAAUCUGCGGCUUCCAAAAGAACAAGUUAUAGGGAAAAGGAGAAAAGCUGAUGAUGAUGGAGGCAAAGAUUUGCAAACAUUACCUGUGAUUAAAUUAUGGGACAGACAUAGACAUGGGAUGGAAGAAACUGCAAGAAACAAGUUCACAGGACUGAAGGGUUCCUGGAGGCUCUGAACAAGGUGCCAGUCUGAUGGGGCUGCCUGCAUACGCAUAUGAAAGCGAUGCCAUGCAAGAGUCCACUGAUAUCUAGGGAGAGAAAGAGGAGGAAAGCCCAACUAGUACUGAGGCCCUGUUAGAGAGUCUGCAGAGAUCAAGGACAUUCAAAGUUCUCUCUUGAAACAG
This 1743-nucleotide long non-coding RNA is filed under the name Gallus gallus (chicken). RNAcentral's name for it is "lncRNA (ENSGALG00010007186.1)". Lineage: Eukaryota; Metazoa; Chordata; Aves; Galliformes; Phasianidae. The record is from RNAcentral.